Molecule: ribosomal RNA, 344 nt
Filed under: uncultured bacterium
Lineage: Bacteria
Description: bacterial SSU rRNA
Rfam family: Bacterial small subunit ribosomal RNA
Source: RNAcentral
UACUUAGUGGCAGACGGGUGAGUAACAUGUAGGUAUCUACCCUUUGGCCUGGAAUAACACGAGGAAACUUGUGCUAAUACCGGAUAAGUCUUUACGGAGAAAGCUUUAUGCACCAUUGGAUGAGCCUGCACUUGAUUAGUUUGUUGGUGGGGUAAUGGCCUACCAAGACUGUGAUCAAUAGCUGAUUUGAGAGGAUGAUCAGCCACAUUGGGACUGAGACACGGCCCAAACUCCUACGGGAGGCAGCAGUGGGGAAUCUUGCACAAUGGAGGAAACUCUGAUGCAGCGAUGCCGCGUGAGUGAAGAAGGCCCUUGGGUUGUAAAGCUCUUUCGUCGGGGAAGAA